GACGAACGCUGGCGGCGUGCUUAACACAUGCAAGUCGAACGGUAAGGCCCUUCGGGGUACACGAGUGGCGAACGGGUGAGUAACACGUGGGUGAUCUGCCCUGCACUUCGGGAUAAGCCUGGGAAACUGGGUCUAAUACCGGAUAGGACCACUGCCUGCAUGGGUGGUGGUGGAAAGCUUUUGCGGUGUGGGAUGGGCCCGCGGCCUAUCAGCUUGUUGGUGGGGUGCUGGCCUACCAGGGCGACGACGGGUAGCCGGCCGGGGAGGGUGACCGGUCACACUGGGACUGAGAUACGGCCCAGACUCCUACGGGAGGCAGCAGUGGGGAAUAUUGCACAAUGGGCGCAAGCCUGAUGCAGCGACGCCGCGUGAGGGAUGACGGCCUUCGGGUUGUAAACCUCUUUCAGCUAUGACGAAGCGCAAGUGACGGUAGUAGCAGAAGAAGGACCGGCCAACUACGUGCCAGCCGCCGCCGUAA
RNAcentral lists this ribosomal RNA (478 nucleotides) under uncultured bacterium. RNAcentral's name for it is "partial 16S ribosomal RNA". It matches the Rfam family "Bacterial small subunit ribosomal RNA", at positions 28 to 523 of the family's 1533-position model. The record is from RNAcentral.